GGAGGGUGCAAGCGUUGUUCGGAAUUAUUGGGCGUAAAGCGCGUGUAGGCGGCUUGGCAAGUCGAGUGUGAAAUCCCGGGGCUCAACCCCGGAACUGCACCCGAAACUGCCAGGCUAGAGUCCCGGAGGGGGUGGCGGAAUUUCCGGUGUAGAGGUGAAAUUCGUAGAUAUCGGAAGGAACACCAGUGGCGAAGGCGGCCACCUGGACGGUGACUGACGCUGAGACGCGAAAGCGUGGGGAGCAAACAGGAUUAGAUACCCUGGGUAGUCCACGCCGUAAACGUUGGGUGCUAGGCGUCGCGGGUAUUGACCCCCUGCGGUGCCCGAAGCUAACGCAUUAAGCACCCCGCCUGGGGAGUACGGUCGCAAGACUA
Molecule: ribosomal RNA, 374 nt
Filed under: uncultured organism
Description: partial 16S ribosomal RNA
Rfam family: Bacterial small subunit ribosomal RNA
Source: RNAcentral